GAUGAACGCUGGCGGCGUGCCUAAUACAUGCAAGUCGAGCGAACAGAUGAGGAGCUUGCUCCUGUGACGUUAGCGGCGGACGGGUGAGUAACACGUGGAUAACCUACCUAUAAGACUGGGAUAACGUCGGGAAACCGGAGCUAAUACCGGAGAAUAUAUUGAACCGCAUGGUUCAAUAGUGAAAGACGGUUUUGCUGUUACUUAUAGAUGGAUCCGCGCCGCAUUAGCUAGUUGGUAAGGUAACGGCCUACCAAGGCAACGAUGCGUAGCCGACCUGAGAGGAUGAUCGGCCACACUGGAACUGAGACACGGUCCAGACUCCUACGGGAGGCAGCAGUAGGGAAUCUUCCGCAAUGGGCGAAAGCCUGACGGAGCAACGCCGCGUGAGUGAUGAAGGUCUUCGGAUCGUAAAACUCUGUUAUUAGGGAAGAAAAAAUGUGUACGUAACUAUGCACGUCUUGACGGUACCUAAUCAGAAAGCAACGGCUAACUACGUG
RNAcentral lists this ribosomal RNA (497 nucleotides) under uncultured bacterium. RNAcentral's name for it is "partial 16S ribosomal RNA". It matches the Rfam family "Bacterial small subunit ribosomal RNA", at positions 28 to 507 of the family's 1533-position model. The record is from RNAcentral.